GAUGAAGAACGUAGCGAAAUGCGAUAACUAAUGUGAAUUGCAGAAUUCAGUGAAUCAUCGAGUCUUUGAACGCACAUUGCGCCCCCUGGUAUUCCGGGGGGCAUGCCUGUCCGAGCGUCAUUGCUGCCCUCAAGCACGGCUUGUGUGUUGGGCUCCGUCCCCCCGGGGACGGGCCCGAAAGGCAGCGGCGGCACCGAGUCCAGUCCUCGAGCGUAUGGGGCUUUGUCACCCGCUCUGUAGGCCCGGCCGGCGCCAGCCGACAACCCAUCAUCCUUUUCAGGUUGACCUCGGAUCAGGUAGGGAUACCCGCUGAACUUAAGCAUAUCAAUAAGCGGAGGA
RNAcentral lists this unclassified non-coding RNA (339 nucleotides) under soil metagenome. RNAcentral's name for it is "partial contains 5.8S ribosomal RNA, internal transcribed spacer 2, and large subunit ribosomal RNA". The stretch from base 1 to 120 matches the Rfam family "5.8S ribosomal RNA", at positions 35 to 154 of the family's 154-position model. The record is from RNAcentral.